UAUCAAGAAAAGGGAAAAUACAUUGUGGAACAAAAGCUUAGAAUACCAGAAACUCAUCAGCUUAGUAAUGGAAUCACUGUUAGAUUUGCAGUGCCAAGGUUGAGGAGAAAGGGAAGAACUCAUCAAAAAAAGACCACCAGCUGCAGGAAGAUAAGCAUAAUUUCCAGAUGAAGAAAAAUCAUUUGAGUCCCGAAUUGAAGACAAAUCAAGUCGUUCAGAUGAAAUCUCGCACCCUAAUGUCUCAAAAAAGACUGAAAACACAGACAAUGAAGAGUCAGUCUACAGGUUCCGAACAGCAGCUGCACAGUCAGAGGAACCGAGUGGCACAGACAACCAAAGCGAUCCAGCAGUAACUGUAUUUGAUCAAGUUGACAGGGCGGCUAAUAAAACUGUUCCAGACCAAAAUAUACCUCACUUUGAGUUAGAGCCCACUGACUUGUCAUCAUUCAGAGGGCUGUCAAAUGUGGAUGUGUGUGCUCUGGAGUUAAUAGCAUCAGAAGAUGAGGAAGUUAACAAACAAGGACCAGCAGUUGCACACGAGGAGCUUGUCGAUUCAGGAGAAGAGGAAAAUACUGAAGUUGUAGAGCCAGUGGAAGUCAUUCAGUAUUCUGGCCUAGCUGAUGUGGAUGUGUGCGCUGCAGAGCUUGAAGGAACAGAGGGAACAAUGAAAGGAGCAACUGCUGAGAAUGUUACACGUGUUAGUGAAGAAAAUCUGAAACACCAGCCGGAGGACAUUCUUGUAAAAUCGUCAGUGGCUCGAGCUGAAAUCACUGAGAACAACCGAGAACAAGCAGAGGAUCAGCCAGACAAAGGAAACGAGGAAAGAACAGAGACUGAAGCUUAUUCUGGGGAGACUCAUGAAAGUGUAGCUCAUAGCAGGGGUAGCUUAGAUGGUAAUGUUAUUCCAAAGGAGGAUUCUUUGGUUGAAAUUAGCUUUGAAGAUGUUCCAGAAGCUCAGCAGAUUAGUAAGGCUGCGGAGAAACAGCCAGAGGAACAGAGUUCAACAAAUGCCUUACAGAUGGAUGUAUUAGAAAUGCGAGAGAAGGAAGAGUCAGAGGACACUACUGCAAUUCCAACUGGCCACUGUGAUGCUGAUACACAAGGCAGCCAUAAACAUGAAGCUGAAAAGGGAGUUAACAGGGC
Molecule: long non-coding RNA, 1143 nt
Organism: Astatotilapia calliptera (eastern happy)
Lineage: Eukaryota; Metazoa; Chordata; Actinopteri; Cichliformes; Cichlidae
Source: Ensembl